GUAAGGGAUCUUGCGCAAUGGGCGAAAGCCUGACGCAGCAACGCCGCGUGCCCGAUGAAGGCCUUCGGGUCGUAAAGGGCUUUUACGCGAGAAGAGAGCGGACGGUAUCGCGGGAAAAAGUGUCGGCUAACUACGUGCCAGCAGCCGCGGUAAAACGUAGGACGCGAGCGUUAUCCGGAGUGACUGGGCGUAAAGGGCGGGUAGGCGGCAGGACAAGUUGGGUGUGAAAUCUCCUGGCUCAACCGGGAGGGGGCACUCGAGACUGUCCGGCUGGGGUCUAGCAGAGGUGCGUGGAAUUCCGGGUGGAGUGGUGAAAUGCGUAGAGAUCCGGAGGAACACCAGAGGCGAAGGCGGCGCACUGGGCUGAGACCGACGCUGAACCGCGAAAGCCAGGGGAGCGAACGGGAUUAGAAACCCGGGUAGUCC
RNAcentral lists this ribosomal RNA (426 nucleotides) under uncultured bacterium. Its description in RNAcentral is "bacterial SSU rRNA". It matches the Rfam family "Bacterial small subunit ribosomal RNA", at positions 354 to 796 of the family's 1533-position model. The record is from RNAcentral.